RNAcentral lists this ribosomal RNA (319 nucleotides) under Obscuribacter sp. (SeqCode). RNAcentral's name for it is "partial 16S ribosomal RNA". It matches the Rfam family "Bacterial small subunit ribosomal RNA", at positions 1 to 234 of the family's 1533-position model. Lineage: Bacteria; Bacillati; Candidatus Melainabacteria; Candidatus Obscuribacterales; Obscuribacteraceae (SeqCode). The record is from RNAcentral.
AAACAUGAGAGUUUGAUCCUGGCUCAGAACGAACGCUGGCGGCACGCCUAACACAUGCAAGUCGAACGAGAAUCGUUCCUUCGGGGACGCUUCUAGUGGCGCACGGGUGAGUAACGCGUGGGAAUCUGCCUGAUAGUGGGGGAUAACUGUUGGAAACGACAGCUAAUACCGCAUACGCCAAGAGCAGAAAUCGAAAGAUGCUAAAAAAUCUAAAAGCUGGAUGAGUCCUGUAUUUAAACGUCUAUGUUUUUUUUCGCAGGCUCCGGGAUCUUUCGUUUUCUGUUCUUGGGAAAGAUUUAUCGCUAUCAGAGGAGCCCGC